This 439-nucleotide ribosomal RNA is filed under the name uncultured bacterium. RNAcentral's name for it is "partial 16S ribosomal RNA". It matches the Rfam family "Bacterial small subunit ribosomal RNA", at positions 339 to 795 of the family's 1533-position model. The record is from RNAcentral.
CUACGGGGGGCACCAGUGAGGAAUAUUGCACAAUGGGGGGAACCCUGAUGCAGCAACGCCGCGUGGAGGAUGACGCAUUUCGGUGUGUAAACUCCUUUUAUAUGUCAAGAAAAUGACGGUAGCAUAUGAAUAAGCGCCGGCUAACUCCGUGCCAGCAGCCGCGGUAAUACGGAGGGCGCAAGCGUUACUCGGAAUCACUGGGCGUAAAGGACGCGUAGGCGGGUUGAAAAGUCAGGUGUGAAAGCCUACAGCUUAACUGUAGAACUGCACUUGAAACUCUCAAUCUAGAGUAUGGGAGGGGCAGAUGGAAUUAGUGGUGUAGGGGUAAAAUCCGUAGAUAUCACUAGGAAUACCUAAAGCGAAGGCGAUCUCCUGGAACAUUACUGACGCUAAGGCGUGAAAGCGUGGGGAGCAAACAGGAUUAGAUACCCGCGUAGUC